Delphinapterus leucas (beluga whale) is the source of this 3999-nucleotide non-coding RNA. The record is from RefSeq and is a predicted model, not a curated record. NCBI's taxonomy places the organism in Eukaryota, Metazoa, Chordata, Mammalia, Artiodactyla, Monodontidae.
GGGGCGGCCCUCCAGCCAGCCUCCGAGGCCUGCCAGCCCCGGGCUCGUCUCCAAGCGAAGCAGUGAGGAGGUUGCCUCCCCCACCUGGGCGCUCCCCCAGGCCCCAGAGUCUUGGUCCCUGGUCUCCUUGGCCCCAGGCAGGUCCUGUGGCUCGGUAGUCAAAUCCCAUGAGUCAGUAGUACAGCAGGCACCUGUCCCCAGGCACACAUGCACACUGACACGCUCACGCAUGCCCACGAGGGCACACAGCCCCCGCUCAAAUUCAGAGUCCACCCUUAGUCACCCCAACAAGUCCCUCCCUGGCCCUACCCUGGAACAUUCCCUCCUCCGGAGGCCCUGGUGCUCUGAGGAAGGCUGGGGGCUGACAGGCUGCGGUACUGUCCACACAGACGGGCCCCCUCCCCAUGCAUCUCUCUCCUGGUUGCUGGGGAGGCCAGAAGGGAAGCCCCCUUGCCUGGGCUCAGCAUCCACCGUCCUUGCCUCGCCCGGGGUCUCAGGCAGGCCCCUGCUGUAUCCGUGGUGCUGCCGUGUUGGUCACUGAUAGACUAAAGAGACGACUGGAGUCCAGAGAAGUCGGCUGCCAUUUGUUCCAGGAUCAUGGCUUGAGGGAGGGGCAUGUCUCUGGGUGCCCGUCCUUGGAGGGACACGACCAAGAGGCACCGGUGUGGCAAGCGGCAUGUGUAGGAAGCAAGGCCAAAAACACACUCUGUGGCCUCAGGGCACCGUUUAAUGUUGCCAGGCCACUGAGUUAUCCUCAGAUGUCUGAGGGGUGUGCUCCAUCUGGUUCCUUCAUUACUAUUCAACUCAGCGUGACAAACAUUGAUCCACACCUACUUCAUGCCAGACACCACACUAGGCAUGGGGAUCCACAGCUUUAUCCCCCAAGGAGCGCACAGGUAGCAGAGGAAACAGCUUGGAAAGCACUAGAACGUUCUGGAACCCAGUUGAAGGAUGGCUUAUUCUGCCUUAGGGGAAGAUGGGGUGAAGAAAGCAGGAGGAUGAGCCACGGAGAAGAGAUGAUGUUCAUGUUGGGCCGGUUAAGAGUUUGUGCAGGUGCUGGGGCCCCUUCCUGUCCCCCCUUGGUCUGCCUGGAGAGGAAGCGGGGACAGGGGUGUGGGGGGAGGCUGGCGUUUCCCCUGGGCCUACAGGGGCUGCAAGUGCCACCCUCUCCAACGCACACACGUGGAGCCCAGAGCAAGCUGUGGCCGGGUGAGAUACAGCCAGCCCGCGUGGGAGCCGCGUGUGUGAAUCUGGGUCCCGGCCCAUCUUCAGAAAAUGGCUCACAGGGAAACAGGUCCUGCUCUGUUCGGCUCAGUCCUUUUACUGUCAGUUUUCAGACAAAACUGUCAGCUUGGGUUCGUUGAGCUUUUUGAAAGCUUUCCAGGUAUUUAGUAAAAUCUGGGGAUUUUGUGGUUUCAUAUUUUAUCUUUACGGGAAAGCCAGCAUGGAACCUGAGUGUGCAAUAAAGAAGCUAAGGGAAUUCAGUGCGGCCUGUGGAGGGGUGGCGGGAGCCCACCGCCAUCCCAGCCCCUGUGGGGAAGUGUGUUGAGGGGCUGGGAUUGAGGAAGCGGUCAGCUGCCGCUACUGCUGCUUGGGUUGGUCAGGGGUCCGGGUGGUAAGUGGGAGGGCGUCUCUCCCUCACGCCAGUUCUCACCAGUAUCUUCCCCUUAAAGAUGGGCUCAUUGCUUUCCACGUGGCACCUCAUUUAAGUCUCUCAGAAAGACCCUGAGGCAGGUAAUGCUGCCACGGGUGACAAAACGUCCUGGACGGGGUGGGCUAGGGCUGUGCUCUCAUCCUGUCCUGUGGGUUCCGGCGGGAAGAAGGGCGCCACGACGUGGGUGGGGAGGGAGCAGUGUGGGACGGCAGGGACCGAGGAACCCGAGCCACUGGGAUCUUAGUUCCUAUUCAAUAGCCACAGUCUGCUGCCUCAAGGCACACUGGCAGAUGAGCUCUCUAGCCUUGGGCUUGCCCUGGGACCGCACAACAAAUCUAAGUCCGGUAGAGCUAAGAGGAACCCUGACCCAAGGUCAUGGGCGUUUUAAGAGCUCUCUUAUCUGUUCCUACGAGGAAAACCAAAACAAAACACUGGCACGCCAAACUUCAGAAACGUUGAGAAUUCUUCUAAAGGUUAUACAUCAACCAAGCACCAGCACCUCCCACGUGGGCGGAGCCAGGCUGGGUGGGCGGGGCCGCGGAGUCGGGUGCAGUUGGGGCCGGCGGCCACAGGUGGCAGCACGGAGGCCGGACGCUCUGCCGGUUUCGGAGCUCGAGCUGGCCCCCCCUCGGUGGAGCGUGGGAGGAGGUGUUGGGGGCAGGCCCAAGGGACCACCCUUCCUCCAGCCCCACUCCUCAGCCCCUUUGGAGGAUUUGCCCCUGGAGUUGAGAAGGUUCUUGGCUGGGAGCCUGGGCGGCUGCGCCCUGGGUGAAUUUGACCCCGCACGGCAGCCCUGUCCUCGGCGUAGCCCCUGGAGCCGGCAGGAUGCGGGUAGAAGGCUGGAGCACGGACACCAGGUCACCCUCAGACGUCCUUUGUGAAGAUGGAAGGACGGGGCUUUUUUUGCUGGAGGACUCACUGGGAGGUAGCGUUUGUUGCCGUGCUGGCCCAGCUCGAGCUCCCUGGGACUCCUUCCAGGACAGCGGCAGCCCUCAGUGACCACUCCCUCACCCCAGCAACUCCAGCACUUAAGACUGAGCCUCUCACACCUCCGGAGUCUCUCGGAAGUUUUCAUCUGUGACUCAUCUCUAAAGUCAUCUGACCGCUCUUGGCAUCUGAUUAUAAGCCCCUGGAUAGCAGGGAUUAUGUGUCACUGGCCUCUUUGUAGCACACAUAGCAUGUGCUCAAAAAAAAUUGUUGUAUAUGACAAGAUUGCCCCCAAAUGUCAUCUCUGAAACUCUUUGCCAUGGUGGGAGACAGCAGUGGCCGGCCAUCAUAAGAGGCUCGUCUUUUUGGCUUUGGUGGGCGUGGCUUUUUGGCUUUGGUGGGCGUGGCAUGGUUUUAGAGGCCCGGCAAGAUGCACUCUUUAGUUUGUUUUGCUUCAGUUAAGUUAGCUCGCUCACAUUCCCUAAGCAUGUAGAUACUGGGCGGGCUGGGUGGAGGUGACAGGGAGCACCUGGGCAGUGAGGGAGAGCUGCCUUCGCCUCCAGAACAUCCUCUGCAUCAUACACAGAGCCCAGCUGGCGAGGGCAAGGAGCUGGCUGCGAGUGGAAACCAGGCCCGGGGAGGGUUUCCAUCAGUGACUGCGGUUGGCGGCUGAACAUUCCUGUGGUCACCAGGAUAAUUAUGCUAACAUCACUGUGCUGUUUGUGAAAGACGACCUGGUUUUCAGAAAUGCCCACUGUCUGCUGUGUAUUUACACCAGGAGGGGGUGGAGGUAGAGGAGGUAACUGCUCUUUCCUUAGUCCGUAAAGAACUCCAAACUGGGAGCAAGUAUGAGAUUCAAACAGGGGUCAUCCAGAAGACCUCCUGCCGUGCCCAUCAGAGAUCCCACGUCUCAGCCUGGAGUGGAUACACACUUGGCCUGACUCAGAAGACCUGCCCGAGUCUAGUUUGGGGCCAGCUCUACCAACAAGCAGACGUGUAGCUCAGGCUGCUGUGCUCAACCUCCCUGACCCCAGGCUUCGCCUCUAAUAUAAAGUAGAAAUCGUGCCUGCCCUGCCUACCUCACAGGGUUUUGAGAACUGUAGAUGUUAGAAUUUCAGGGAUUAGAAAUUGUCGACCCCAUUCUCACUAUCCAUGAGACCCCGAGAGGUUAAAUAACACGUCCAAGGUCACGCAUCUAGCCACGCAUCUAGUGGCAGAGCUAGAUCUCAGGUCUUGUGGCUCCUCUAUUCGUUGUUGAUACUAUUAUUGCACGUAUCAUGCUUUGUUUAUUUACCUGUCCACCAUCCACGCAGAAGUGUAAGCCCCUAGAGGGCAGGGAUCCACUCUCACACCUCUUUUUUCUCUAGCGCCUGGUACAUACUAAAGGUGCUCAAUAAACGUGUGUUGACCUAAACUGA